RNAcentral lists this ribosomal RNA (1241 nucleotides) under metagenome. Its description in RNAcentral is "bacterial LSU rRNA". It matches the Rfam family "Bacterial large subunit ribosomal RNA", at positions 1564 to 2814 of the family's 2925-position model. The record is from RNAcentral.
UGAAUACGAGACGCUAAGGCGUCGAAGUAGUGUAUGUCAUACUUCCAAGAAAAGCUUGCACUGUCAUAAGUAAAAAAUGCCUGUACCAUAACCGACACAGGUGGGUAGGUAGAGUAUACUAAGGGGCGCGAGAUAACUCUCUCUAAGGAACUCGGCAAAAUAACUCCGUAACUUCGGGAGAAGGAGUACCUUAUUCUAUAAGGUUGCAAUAACAAGAUCCAAGCAACUGUUUAUCAAAAACACAGGUCUCCGCUAAGUCGUAAGACGAUGUAUGGGGGCUGACGCCUGCCCAGUGCCAGAAGGUUAAAGAAGUCGGUUAGCAUUAGCGAAGCUGGUAACUGAAGCCCUGGUGAACGGCGGCCGUAACAAUAACGGUCCUAAGGUAGCGAAAUUCCUUGUCGGGUAAGUUCCGACCCGCACGAAAGGCGUAAUGAUUUGGAUACUGUCUCGGAGAGGGGCUCGGUGAAAUAGACUUGUCUGUGAAGAUGCGGACUACCUGCACCAGGACAGAAAGACCCUAUGAAGCUUUACUGUAACUUGAAAUUGAAAUUGGACUUUAUUCGCGCAGUAUAGGUGGGAGGUGUUGAUUAUAAUCUUGCGGGAUUAUUGGAGCCAUCAGUGAGAUACCACUCUUGUAAUGUUAGAUUUCUAACUUUGAAUCAUUAUCUGGUCAAAGGACAGUUUCAGGCGGGCAGUUUGACUGGGGCGGUCGCCUCCCAAACGGUAACGGAGGCGUACAAAGGUUUCCUCUGAACGGGUAGAAAUCGUAUCUAGAGUGUAAAGGCAUAAGGAAGCUUGACUGUGAGACCUACAAGUCGAACAGGGACGAAAGUCGGUCUUAGUGAUCUGACGGUACUGAGUGGAAAGGCCGUCACUCAACGGAUAAAAGUUACUCUAGGAUAACAGGCUGAUCUCCCCCAAGAGUUCACAUCGACGGGGAGGUUUGGCACCUCGAUGUCGGCUCAUCGCAUCCUGGGGCGGUAGUACGUCCCAAGGGUUGGGCUGUUCGCCCAUGAAAGCGGUACGCGAGCUGGGUUCAGAACGUCGUGAGACAGUUCGGUCCAUAUCCGGUGUAGGCGUUAGAAUAUUGAGAGGAGCCUUCUUUAGUACGAGAGGACCGAGAAGGACAUACCUCUGGUGUACCAGUUAUCGUGCCAACGGUAAACGCUGGGUAGCUAUGUAUGGAGUGGAUAACCGCUGAAAGCAUCUAAGUGGGAAGCCCACCUCAAGAUAAGUAUUCU